Molecule: unclassified non-coding RNA, 90 nt
Filed under: Pseudomonas libanensis
Lineage: Bacteria; Pseudomonadati; Pseudomonadota; Gammaproteobacteria; Pseudomonadales; Pseudomonadaceae
Source: RNAcentral
UGUGGGAGCGGGCUUGCCUGCGAUAGCGGUGUGCCAGCCGACACUUAUAUUGACUGAUCCAUCGCUAUCGCGGGCAAGCCCGCUCCCAAA